Molecule: ribosomal RNA, 717 nt
Filed under: uncultured bacterium
Lineage: Bacteria
Description: bacterial SSU rRNA
Rfam family: Bacterial small subunit ribosomal RNA
Source: RNAcentral
GGCGACCGGCGCACGGGUGAGUAACGCGUAUCCAACCUUCCCUUUACUGGGGUCCAGCCCGUCGAAAGGCGGAUUAAUCCCCCAUGUUCUCCGUCCCGGACAUCUGUGUCGGAGCAAAGAUUUAUCGGUAAAGGAUGGGGAUGCGUCCGAUUAGCUUGUUGGCGGGGUAACGGCCCACCAAGGCAUCGAUCGGUAGGGGUUCUGAGAGGAAGGUCCCCCACACUGGAACUGAGACACGGUCCAGACUCCUACGGGAGGCAGCAGUGAGGAAUAUUGGUCAAUGGCCGAGAGGCUGAACCAGCCAAGUCGCGUGAGGGAAGAAUGUCCUAAGGAUUGUAAACCUCUUUUGUCGGGGAGCAAAAAGGCUCUGCGGAGUCGUAUUGAGAGUACCCGAAGAAAAAGCAUCGGCUAACUCCGUGCCAGCAGCCGCGGUAAUACGGAGGAUGCGAGCGUUAUCCGGAUUUAUUGGGUUUAAAGGGUGCGCAGGCGGCGUGUCAAGCAAGCGGUAAAAUAGCGGGGCUCAACCCCGUCGAGCCGUUUGAACUGGCGCGCUUGAGUUCAGGCGAGGUAGGCGGAAUUCGUGGUGUAGCGGUGAAAUGCAUAGAUAUCACGAAGAACUCCGAUUGCGAAGGCAGCUCACUGGACUGCAACUGACACUGAGGCUCGAAAGUGUGGGUAUCAAACAGGAUUAGAUACCCUGGUAGUCCACACAGUAAA